This 1223-nucleotide long non-coding RNA is filed under the name Homo sapiens (human). RNAcentral describes it as "HSALNT0008732". Lineage: Eukaryota; Metazoa; Chordata; Mammalia; Primates; Hominidae. The record is from RNAcentral.
CUGAUGCUGACUUUCUGCCUUCUAUGUCUCAAUUUUAGGGACAAAAAUGAGACAUGGGUUUGCAAUGGCUUUCCUUCAGCCACUUUCUGGUUAAGAUCUGAAGGGUGUGAUCAACCUCCCUGGGGUUUGACAGGUUACUGUCCUGCUGUUGACAUUAAAAUUAAUUCUCUAAACAUCAUUUGUGCCUAGAAAGGUAACAAACUAAUCAGUACUUAAGCAAGUAUAUGGAGGAUUGAACUUUUAAAGUGGCAUGGACAGACUGUAAAAAAGGCCUGUGUCCUUGUUUUAGGAGAAGAAUACAAUUUCUUUUUUCUUCUUUUUAUUUUUUAAAUUUAUUUUAGGUUUAGAGGUACAUGUGUAGGUUUGUUAUACAGGUAAAUUGCACAUCACAGAGGUUUGGUGUACAGAUUAUUUCAUCAUCCAGAUAAUCAACAGAGUACCUGAUAAGGAAUUUUUCAAAUCUCUCCUUCCUCCCACCCUCCAGCCUCAAGUAGGACACAGUGCCUGAUAUUCCUUUCUUUAUGGUCAUGUGUACCCAGUGUUUAGCUCCCACUUAUAAGUUAGGAUGUGGCAUUUGGGUUUCUUUUUCUGCAUUAGUUUGCUUAGGAUUAUGGCCUCCAGCUUUAUCCAUAUUGCUGUAAAGGACAUGAUCUAGUUCUUUUUAUGGCUGUGUAAUAUGUUGUAUAUCCAUCCAUGGGCAUUUAGGUUGAUUCCAUGUCUUUGCUACUGAAUAUAGUGCUGCAAUAGACAUACGCACCCAUGAGUCUUUAUGGUAGAAUGAUUUAUAUUCCUUUGGGCACAUACUCAAUAAUGGGAUUGCUGGGUUGAUUGAUAAUUCUGUUUUAAGUUCUUUGGGGAAUCACUGCAGUGCUUUCCACAAUGGCUGAACUAAUUUACAUUCCCGCCAGCAGUGUAUAAACGUUUCCUUUUCUCCACAACCUUGCCAGCACCUGUUGUUUUUUGACAUUUUAGUAAGAGCCAUUCUGACUGGUAUAGAUGGUAUUUCAUUGUGGUCUUGAUUUGCCUUUCUCUGCUGGUUAGUGAUGUUGAACAUUUUAUAAUAUGCUUGUUGGCCAUGUGUAUGUCUUCUUUUGGACACAGUCUGUUCAUGUCCAUGCCUACUUUUUAAUGGGUUUUUUUUUUUUUUGCUUAUUAAUGUGUUUAAGUUCCCUGUAGAUUCUGGAUAUUAGACCUUUGUUAGAUGUGUAGUUUGCAAACAUUUU